RNAcentral lists this ribosomal RNA (441 nucleotides) under uncultured bacterium. RNAcentral describes it as "partial 16S ribosomal RNA". It matches the Rfam family "Bacterial small subunit ribosomal RNA", at positions 338 to 795 of the family's 1533-position model. The record is from RNAcentral.
CCUACGGGAGGCAGCAGUGGGGGAUAUUGAACAAUGGGGGAAACCCUGAUGCAGCGACGCCGCGUGGGUGAAGAAGUAUUUCGGUAUGUAAAGCCCUAUCAGCAGGGAAGAAAGAAGACGGUACCUGACUAAGAAGCCCCGGCUAACUACGUGCCAGCAGCCGCGGUAAUACGUAGGGGGCGAGCGUUAUCCGGAUUCACUGGGUGUAAAGGGAGCGUAGACGGCCGUGCAAGCCAGGAGUGAAAGCCCGGGGCCCAACCCAGGGACUGCUCUUGGAACUGUGCGGCUGGAGUGCGGGAGGGGCAGGCGGAAGUCCUGGUGUAGCGGUGAAAUGCGUAGAUAUCAGGAGGAACACCGGCGGCGAAGGCGGCCUGCUGGACCGCGACUGACGUUGAGGCUCGAAAGCGUGGGGAGCGAACAGGAUUAGAUACCCUUGUAGUC